Molecule: ribosomal RNA, 468 nt
Filed under: uncultured bacterium
Lineage: Bacteria
Description: partial 16S ribosomal RNA
Rfam family: Bacterial small subunit ribosomal RNA
Source: RNAcentral
GACGAACGCUGGCGGCGUGCUUAACACAUGCAAGUCGAACGGAAAGGCCCUGCUUUUGUGGGGUGCUCGAGUGGCGAACGGGUGAGUAACACGUGAGUAACCUGCCCUUGACUUUGGGAUAACUUCAGGAAACUGGGGCUAAUACCGGAUAGGAGCUCCUGCUGCAUGGGGGGGGUUGGAAAGUUUCGGCGGUUGGGGAUGGACUCGCGGCUUAUCAGCUUGUUGGUGGGGUAGUGGCUUACCAAGGCUUUGACGGGUAGCCGGCCUGAGAGGGUGACCGGCCACAUUGGGACUGCGAUACGGCCCAGACUCCUACGGGAGGCAGCAGUGGGGAAUAUUGCACAAUGGGCGGAAGCCUGAUGCAGCAACGCCGCGUGCGGGAUGACGGCCUUCGGGUUGUAUACCGCUUUCGCCUGUGACGAAGCGUGAGUGACGGUAAUGGGUAAAGAAGCACCGGCUAACUACGUG